RNAcentral lists this ribosomal RNA (301 nucleotides) under uncultured bacterium. Its description in RNAcentral is "partial 16S ribosomal RNA". It matches the Rfam family "Bacterial small subunit ribosomal RNA", at positions 509 to 808 of the family's 1533-position model. The record is from RNAcentral.
CAGCAGCCGCGGUAAUACGUAGGUCCCGAGCGUUGUCCGGAUUUAUUGGGCGUAAAGCGGGCGCAGGCGGUUAGAUAAGUCUGAAGUUAAAGGCUGUGGCUUAACCAUAGUACGCUUUGGAAACUGUUUAACUUGAGUGCAAGAGGGGAGAGUGGAAUUCCAUGUGUAGCGGUGAAAUGCGUAGAUAUCAGUCGGAACACCCAUGGCGAAGGCAGCUGCCUGGCCUAAUACUGACGCUGAGGUGCGAAAGCGUGGGGAGCGAACGGGAUUAGAUACCCCAGUAGUCCCUGUCUCUUAUACA